Molecule: long non-coding RNA, 832 nt
Organism: Scaptodrosophila lebanonensis
Lineage: Eukaryota; Metazoa; Arthropoda; Insecta; Diptera; Drosophilidae
Exons: 2
Source: RefSeq, a predicted model, not a curated record
CAUGAAGGGAGAGAAAAUGUUUUUUUAUUUUUUCUAAAUAAACCCACAACUCGUUUGAGCAGACCUCGUUUUCGGUAAAAAUUUCAUAAAUUUUGUUUCAACCGGUUUUUUAACCGUCCUGGAAAAGCAAUCAUGUUUGAGGCACGUCCCCACUGUCAAGGAAAUCUUGUAUGCCAUUAAAGAUUUGCUCAAUGACGGGACUUUCGACCACAUUAACUUGGGAAUACAACUGCUGGCCAUGGACAAGUUCUGCUUCGUGUCUACCCAUCCUGUUCAUAGAUAGUAUCGACUAAUCCCACUCUAGUCGGAGGCUCGUCAUUGCCAUGCGAUUGAGGAACGUGACCAAGGUUCUAAAGUAGGCCAGUACCGGGAAAUUGCAAGAGUAACGACAACUACAAUAGUGUAGCGUUCAAGUUUUCUGAACAAAAGAAGGACUCGGCUCUUACGUCUCGAUUGAGGACUCUUGGGCAUAUCGGAGACUGACUAUUCGUGUGUUGUGCGCAUGCAGGUCAUAGAAUUCGCAUGCAUCUGACGAGAUUUGAUGCAGCUCUACGGAUCCUAUAGCUUUUCCUUAUUGGAAGGCAAACUCGCUGACUAUGAAAGUUGACGAAGAAGAAAAGGCGGUCUUCUUUUAAGCACACCAGUCAGACGCGCUUACCUAUACCAAAAGCUGCCCGAGAACCAAAAGCAAUGCGUUCGUCAUGUCCACGUCAUGUCACGUCCAGACUACUUGUAGAUGUAAAUAAGGAAUACCUUAUCAGCAACACGGUUGCUUCCAUACACACAUUCCACGUUAAACAUUUCCUUGGUCAAUAAAAACAAUUCAACGGAA